Molecule: ribosomal RNA, 467 nt
Filed under: Poeonoma acantha
Lineage: Eukaryota; Metazoa; Arthropoda; Insecta; Lepidoptera; Noctuidae
Description: partial 16S large subunit ribosomal RNA
Source: RNAcentral
UGUCUUUUUGAAAAUAAUAUAAAGUCUAAUCUGCCCACUGAUUAUUUAAUUAAAGGGCUGCAGUAUAUUGACUGUACAAAGGUAGCAUAAUCAUUAGUCAUUUAAUUGAUGACUUGUAUGAAGGAUUGAAUGAAAUAUAGACUGUCUCUUAAUUAAAUAUAGAAUUUAAUUUUUUAAUAAAAAAGUUAAAAUAAUUUAAAAAGACGAGAAGACCCUAUAGAGUUUUAUAAGUAAUUUAAUUGAGAUUAUAUAAUAGUAUAAAAUUAAAAUUAAUUUAGUUAUUGUGUUGGGGUGAUAGAAAAAUGUAAUAAACUUUUUUUAUUUUUUACAUUUAUAAGUGAUUAUUUGAUCCAAUAUUAUUGAUUAUAAGAAAAAAUUACCUUAGGGAUAACAGCGUAAUUUUUUUUUUUAGUUCAUAUAAGAAAAAGAGUUUGCGACCUCGAUGUUGGAUUAAGAUAAAAUUUAAA